UUCUUAUGUUUAAAAGCAAAUUAACACAGAAACAGGAAACUAAAUGCUGCAUGUCCUUAUGUAUAAGUGGGAGCAAAACCUUGGUUACAUAUGGAUAUAAAGAUGAGAAUAAUAGAUACUGGGGACUGCUAGAGGGAGCAGAAGGGGGCAAGGGCUGAGAAACUGUUGGGUACUACCUGGGUGAUGGGAUCAUUUGUACUCCAAACCUCAACAUCACCCAACAUACUGAUGUAGCAAAUCUGCACAUGUACCCCCUGAGUCUAAAAUUCAAGUUGAAAUUAUUUA
Long non-coding RNA from Sapajus apella (tufted capuchin), 285 nucleotides. RefSeq lists it as uncharacterized. The transcript is spliced from 3 exons. Lineage: Eukaryota; Metazoa; Chordata; Mammalia; Primates; Cebidae. The record is from RefSeq and is a predicted model, not a curated record.